GAUGAACGCUGGCGGCGUGCCUAAUACAUGCAAGUCGAGCGAACAGAUAAGGAGCUUGCUCCUUUGACGUUAGCGGCGGACGGGUGAGUAACACGUGGGUAACCUACCUAUAAGACUGGGAUAACUUCGGGAAACCGGAGCUAAUACCGGAUAACAUUUGGAACCGCAUGGUUCUAAAGUGAAAGAUGGUUUUGCUAUCACUUAUAGAUGGACCCGCGCCGUAUUAGCUAGUUGGUAAGGUAACGGCUUACCAAGGCGACGAUACGUAGCCGACCUGAGAGGGUGAUCGGCCACACUGGAACUGAGACACGGUCCAGACUCCUACGGGAGGCAGCAGUAGGGAAUCUUCCGCAAUGGGCGAAAGCCUGACGGAGCAACGCCGCGUGAGUGAUGAAGGGUUGCGGCUCGUAAAACUCUGUUAUUAGGGAAGAACAAAUGUGUAAGUAACUGUGCACGUCUGGACGGUACCUAAGCAGAAAGCCACGGCUAACUACGG
This 496-nucleotide ribosomal RNA is filed under the name uncultured bacterium. Its description in RNAcentral is "partial 16S ribosomal RNA". It matches the Rfam family "Bacterial small subunit ribosomal RNA", at positions 28 to 506 of the family's 1533-position model. The record is from RNAcentral.